RNAcentral lists this transfer RNA (51 nucleotides) under Libnetis sp. UPOL A00587. RNAcentral describes it as "partial tRNA-Ser". Lineage: Eukaryota; Metazoa; Arthropoda; Insecta; Coleoptera; Lycidae. The record is from RNAcentral.
AUAAACAAAUUAAUGCUAAAAAAGAAAGUUAGAAGCUUUCAUAUUUUCAAU